UAGGCAAACUCCAAAUGGUUGUUUGCGGACAAUAGCGAGGCAAAGUCGGCGGAAGUUUAAAAAGACUUGAAUGAAAGAACAACUAGGUAUUCUUUUUACAGAUUAAUAAAAGGAACAGGAUUUUAAAAUGGAUAGUUAACCUUCCAAGUGUUGAAAAAAAAAUUAAAAACAAAAGCCAAAUUAAUGACUUAAAAGUCCAAGUAACUUUUUUGAAAUAAAGUUUGGUCAGUUCAUAAAACAAGUAUUUUCUUUUUUUUUUUUUUUUUUUGAGAAAAAAGAGGAUUUGUUUACAGAAAAAAACAGGAAAGCAGAAAGACAGCGGUUUGAAUAGCACAAGCUGAACUAGCUUAUUUAUAACGAAAUUUUAAGUAAAUACUGGAGACAAAGGUUAGUUAUCCUCCCCCAAUAAGAUAACUGAGAAAAAGUCGAUUAAGAUAAAAUUAUGGAGAGAGAAAUCAAAAGAAAGAAGAAAGGCCUAAAAUAAUAAGAAGAUUGUAUAAUGACUAUGGAUUACUACUUUAAAAUAUAUCUCUUAAUAUCACAGUAUAUAAACACUCUUGACUAUUAGUGUGGAAAUUGAUGAUGGAUUGCAAAGAAAAGAUGAGCGGAUAGUUUCUAGAAAAAAUUUUGGAAUUCAAAAGACGAAGCAGUGAUGUAAAUAGCUUUUUUGCAGAGUUUCUUAUGUUGAAAUUGAAUAAUUACAUAGAAACUUGAAGGUUCAAGGUUCAUAAAAACGGAGAAAAUGGGAUAUAAUAGCAAAUAAAAGAGAGAAACAGAUAUUAUGUUUGUUUUUUAGAAAGAAUCUCAACAAAUUACAGAUAUUUUGAUUGUAUUGGAAUACUAAACAAAAAAAUAUGUAAGUAAAUAGUCAAGUGAGCAAAGUAGAACAAUGCUGGCCACGCGUUAAAGGGGGAAAGGUGGUUAGCGAAGAAUGGAAUGUUUUCAACUCAUUAUUGCCAUUCUACGAAUAUAAAAAC
This 977-nucleotide unclassified non-coding RNA is filed under the name Schizosaccharomyces pombe (fission yeast). Its description in RNAcentral is "non-coding RNA (predicted)". Lineage: Eukaryota; Fungi; Ascomycota; Schizosaccharomycetes; Schizosaccharomycetales; Schizosaccharomycetaceae. The record is from RNAcentral.